GCUCUGGUAGUAUAGUCUGGCCCAGUAUUUCCGGCUGUCACCCGGAAGAUCCCGGGUUCGAAUCCCGGCCAGAGCGCCA
This 79-nucleotide transfer RNA is filed under the name Candidatus Bathyarchaeota archaeon. Its description in RNAcentral is "tRNA-Asp". It matches the Rfam family "tRNA". Rfam says of the family: Transfer RNA (tRNA) molecules are approximately 80 nucleotides in length. Their secondary structure includes four short double-helical elements and three loops (D, anti-codon, and T loops). Lineage: Archaea; Thermoproteati; Candidatus Bathyarchaeota. The record is from RNAcentral. RNAcentral also lists the same sequence under 1 other name.